UACAGAGGGUGCAAGCGUUAAUCGGAAUUACUGGGCGUAAAGCGUGCGUAGACGGUUACGCAAGUCGGGUGUGAAAGCCCCGGGCUCAACCUGGGAAUGGCGAUGGAUACUGGCUCGCUAGAGUGCGGUAGAGGAGAGUGGAAUUCCCGGUGUAGCAGUGAAAUGCGUAGAGAUCGGGAGGAACAUCAGUUGCGAAGGCGGCUCUCUGGACCAGCACUGACACUGAGGCACGAAAGCGUGGGGAGCAAACAGG
RNAcentral lists this ribosomal RNA (253 nucleotides) under uncultured bacterium. RNAcentral describes it as "partial 16S ribosomal RNA". It matches the Rfam family "Bacterial small subunit ribosomal RNA", at positions 524 to 776 of the family's 1533-position model. The record is from RNAcentral.